This 65-nucleotide transfer RNA is filed under the name Dipodomys ordii (Ord's kangaroo rat). It matches the Rfam family "tRNA". From Rfam's summary of the family: Transfer RNA (tRNA) molecules are approximately 80 nucleotides in length. Their secondary structure includes four short double-helical elements and three loops (D, anti-codon, and T loops). Lineage: Eukaryota; Metazoa; Chordata; Mammalia; Rodentia; Heteromyidae. The record is from Rfam by way of RNAcentral.
GGUGGCUCAGUGGUAGAGUGCUUGCCUGGCAAGCAUGAGGCCCUGGGUUCGGUUCCUCAGCACCA